AUGAACGCUGGCGGCGUGCCUCAUACAUGCAAGUCGAGCGAACAGACGAGGAGCUUGCUCCUCUGACGUUCGCGGCGGACGGGUGAGUAACACGUGGAUAACCUACCUAUAAGACUGGGAUAACUUCGGGAAACCGGAGCUAAUACCGGAUAAUAUAUUGAACCGCAUGGUUCAAUAGUGAAAGACGGUUUUGCUGUCACUUAUAGAUGGAUCCGCGCCGCAUUAGCUAGUUGGUAAGGUAACGGCUUACCAAGGCAACGAUGCGUAGCCGACCUGAGAGGGUGAUCGGCCACACUGGAACUGAGACACGGUCCAGACUCCUACGGGAGGCAGCAGUAGGGAAUCUUCCGCAAUGGGCGAAAGCCUGACGGAGCAACGCCGCGUGAGUGAUGAAGGUCUUCGGAUCGUAAAACUCUGUUAUUAGGGAAGAACAAAUGUGUAAGUAACUAUGCACGUCUUGACGGUACCUAAUCAGAAAGCCACGGCUAACUACGUG
This 496-nucleotide ribosomal RNA is filed under the name uncultured bacterium. Its description in RNAcentral is "partial 16S ribosomal RNA". It matches the Rfam family "Bacterial small subunit ribosomal RNA", at positions 29 to 507 of the family's 1533-position model. The record is from RNAcentral.